UUUCCUUCCGCAUGAGUCUUGAACUUUAGUACGUAAUUCUAUGCAGCAUCUGUAUUUUAUUUCACAAUAUUAUACUUCUUUCUAAUUUUUUUCAACAAACUUCAAAUGAAAAAUGAUUAAAUAACCUCAGAUAUAAACAUCAAAUUAUACUAAUCUAAUUUUAACGGUUAUUAUAUUAUUUUUAUAACCUGUGAUUUCUAUUAAUUCGUUAAAUUACAUUUUUAUUUAAUAAAAUUAAUUGAAAAGCUAACUCGUAAUGAAAAACUUAAAAGCUAAUUUAUUAAAUUAAAAAUGUUUGAUUUAAUUAUUAAAAUAAUUAAAAAUAUAAAAUAAUAAAAUAAACAUAUUUAUAUUCUACUAUUUUAUGCUAUAUUUUUUAUGUUAAAUAUUCUACUAUUAAUAUUAUAUUGUUUCUUAAAAUAUUUUUAAUCAAGUUUAUGAUAAUAUAAGAAAAUACAUAUAAGUAGAUAUUAUACUUGUAUUAUUUUAAUUAGUGUACUAGUUAAAAUAAAUCAUAUAUCAUCUAUUGUAAAAUUAUUCAAAAAAAAAUAAAAUACAACAUAUAGUGUUGAAAUAAUAAAUUAAAUUUAUAAGUGGUACAAUGGUUAAAAUAAAUAUUGUAACAUAAAAAAAUAUAAAAUAUAAUAACAAAAAAAUAAAUCUAUCAUUUAUCAUUAUCAAUGUCUUGAUUUAUAAUCCUAAAUAAAAUAAAUAGUAUAAUCAUUAAAUUAAGAAUGUAAUCAUAAUAUAAAAAAUAAAAUAAUCAAUCCCUAUGUUUCUUUUUUAUUGUUUUUCUUUUUUUACUCUCAAUGUGAAACAAAAUGGAAGGUCUGCAUGUUGAAGAAAAAGAUAAGACGACGAAACAAAUGAAUGAGUAAAAAAAGAAAAAUAAUAAAACUCUGAUUUAUUUAAAAAGAAUAAUAAAAGAAUUUGAUAAAUAUAUUAAAGAUAAAAAAGAAAAAGAUAUAUAAAAAAUAAAAACUAAUGUUUUAAAAAAUAUUACUUUAAAUAGAAUUUAAAAAAUAUAAACUAAUAAGAAAUUACUAAAAAAACAUUACUUAUUAAUUAUUGAACAAUCAAAUAAACUUUUCAACAAGUAAAAAAAUUAAAAACUAAAUAAAAUAUUUUGUCAAACAUAAAUUUAGUGCCUGAUUUGGUUGGCAUGCAAACUUGCAGACUGUAUGGUUUAGUAGUCAUGAACAAAUCUCACCAUGCGGCUCUAAGCCCCACCGGCCUGGUGAAGCAAACCACCGCCGGUUGGAGCCACUAUUGAUGGAGGAAAUGUCACCGGAGGCCGGAGCUUGGGAGGCUUUCAAAAAUCAUUGGUGUUGAGUAUGGAUGAAAAAUUGAAAAUGGCGGACGCUAAUAACUUUGAGUUGAAUAUAUAACAUUCAGAUUAAAAGGACAUUUUUCACAUGAAUUGUAGCAAUUUAAACUGAUCAGAAUGACAG
Molecule: long non-coding RNA, 1451 nt
Filed under: Glycine max (soybean)
Lineage: Eukaryota; Viridiplantae; Streptophyta; Magnoliopsida; Fabales; Fabaceae
Description: long non-coding RNA (GMAX_LNC000291)
Source: RNAcentral